GCUUGAGCACGUAGGUGGGUUUGUAAGUCAGAUGUGAAAGCCUUCUGUUCAACGGAAGAAUUGCGUCUGAAACUGCGAGUCUUGAGUGUAGGAGGGGAGAAUGGAACUUCUGGUGGAGCGGUGAAAUGCGUAGAUAUCAGAAGGAACGCCGGCGGCGAAAGCGAUUCUCUGGCCUAUUACUGACACUCAGUGUGCGAAAGCUAGGGGAGCAAACGGGAUUAGAUACCCCGGUAGUCCUAGCUGUAAACGAUGGGCACUAAGUAGAGGGGAUUACCGAUGUUCUCUCUGCAGUAGCUAACGCAUUAAGUGCCCCGCCUGGGGAGUACGGCCGCAAGGCUAAAACUCAAAAGAAUUGACGGGGGCUCGCACAAGCGGUGGAGCAUGUGGUUUAAUUCGAUGCAACGCGGAGAACCUUACCGGGGCUUGACAUGGUAGAAGUAGGAACCCGAAAGGGUAACGAACGGUAUCCAGUCCGUAGCUAUCACAGGUGUUGCAUGGCUGUCGUCAGCUCGUGUCGUGAGACGUUGGGUUAAGUCCCCUAACGAGCGAAACCCUUGUUUUUAGUUGCCAGCGGGUUAUGCCGGGCACCCUAGAGAGACUGCCGUCGUCAAGACGGAGGAAGGUGGGGAUGACGUCAAGUCAUCAUGGCCCUUAUGCCCCGGGCUACACACGUGCUACAAUGGCCGGUACAAACGGAAGCGAAGCCGAGAGGUGAAGCGAAUCCAAGC
Molecule: ribosomal RNA, 728 nt
Filed under: uncultured Planctomycetota bacterium
Lineage: Bacteria; Pseudomonadati; Planctomycetota
Description: bacterial SSU rRNA
Rfam family: Bacterial small subunit ribosomal RNA
Source: RNAcentral